RNAcentral lists this ribosomal RNA (253 nucleotides) under uncultured bacterium. RNAcentral describes it as "partial 16S ribosomal RNA". It matches the Rfam family "Bacterial small subunit ribosomal RNA", at positions 524 to 776 of the family's 1533-position model. The record is from RNAcentral.
UACAGAGGGUGCAAGCGUUAAUCGGAAUUACUGGGCGUAAAGCGCGCGUAGGCGGUUUGUUAAGUCGGAUGUGAAAGCCCUGGGCUCAACCUGGGAACUGCAUUCGAAACUGGCUAACUAGAGUAUGGUAGAGGGUGGUGGAAUUCCUAGUGUAGCGGUGAAAUGCGUAGAUAUUAGGAGGAACAUCAGUGGCGAAGGCGACCACCUGGACCAAUACUGACGCUGAGGUGCGAAAGCGUGGGGAGCAAACAGG